UCAUUAACUGAAUCCAUAGGUUAAUGAGGCGAACCGGGGGAACUGAAACAUCUAAGUACCCCGAGGAAAAGAAAUCAACCGAGAUUCCCCCAGUAGCGGCGAGCGAACGGGGAGGAGCCCAGAGCCUGAAUCAGCAUGUGUGUUAGUGGAAGCGUCUGGAAAGGCGCGCGAUACAGGGUGACAGCCCCGUACACAAAAGCGCAUGUGCUGUGAGCUCGAUGAGUAGGGCGGGACACGUGGUAUCCUGUCUGAAUAUGGGGGGACCAUCCUCCAAGGCUAAAUACUCCUGACUGACCGAUAGUGAACCAGUACCGUGAGGGAAAGGCGAAAAGAACCCCGGCGAGGGGAGUGAAAAAGAACCUGAAACCGUGUACGUACAAGCAGUGGGAGCACAGGUUUACCUG
Molecule: ribosomal RNA, 404 nt
Filed under: Salmonella enterica subsp. enterica
Lineage: Bacteria; Pseudomonadati; Pseudomonadota; Gammaproteobacteria; Enterobacterales; Enterobacteriaceae
Also listed under: 1 other name
Description: partial 23S ribosomal RNA
Rfam family: Bacterial large subunit ribosomal RNA
Source: RNAcentral